GACGAACGCUGGCGGCGUGCUUAACACAUGCAAGUCGAACGAUGAAGCUGGAGCUUGCUCCGGUGGAUUAGUGGCGAACGGGUGAGUAACACGUGAGCAAUCUGCCCUUGACUCUGGGAUAACUGCGGGAAACUGUAGCUAAUACCGGAUACGAGGCUCGAAGGCAUCUUCGGGUCUGGAAGGAAUUUCGGUCAAGGAUGAGCUCGCGGCCUAUCAGCUUGUUGGUGAGGUAAUGGCUCACCAAGGCGACGACGGGUAGCCGGCCUGAGAGGGUGACCGGCCACACUGGGACUGAGACACGGCCCAGACUCCUACGGGAGGCAGCAGUGGGGAAUAUUGCACAAUGGGCGAAAGCCUGAUGCAGCAACGCCGCGUGAGGGAUGAAGGCCUUCGGGUUGUAAACCUCUUUUAGCAGGGAAGAAGCGAAAGUGACGGUACCUGCAGAAAAAGCACCGGCUAACUACGUGCCAGCCGCCGCCGUAA
Molecule: ribosomal RNA, 483 nt
Filed under: uncultured bacterium
Lineage: Bacteria
Description: partial 16S ribosomal RNA
Rfam family: Bacterial small subunit ribosomal RNA
Source: RNAcentral